This 881-nucleotide ribosomal RNA is filed under the name Elphidium crispum. RNAcentral describes it as "SSU rRNA". It matches the Rfam family "Eukaryotic small subunit ribosomal RNA", at positions 1165 to 1831 of the family's 1831-position model. The record is from RNAcentral. Lineage: Eukaryota; Foraminifera; Rotaliida; Elphidiidae.
CACAAGAACGCGUGGAGCAUGUGGCUUAAUUUGACUCAACGCGGGAAAUCUUACCGGGUCCGGACACACUGAGGAUUGACAGACAAACACAUUUAUGUGUUAUAAAGAUGCUAGUUCUUUCAUGAUUAUGUGAUAGGUGGUGCAUGGCCGUUCUUAGUUCGUGGAGUGAUCUGUCUGCUUAAUUGCGUUUCAAUAUUUUAUUACGUAUACGUAUGACCAACUUACCUUUACCGGUAUGUUUGUGUCUAGUAUGCUAUCAUUUGAAAGCAACGAACGUGACCGUAUCCUUUUAUUAUGUACGCACGCGUAUAUUUAUUUCAUUAAAGGGACCGCUGUUUCUUUCUUUAAACCAGAGGAAGGUUACGGCAAUAACAGGUCUGUGAUGCCCUUCGAUGUUCCGGGCUGCACACGUGCUACAAUGAUUAUUUCAUUAAGUAUCUAAUCUUUUAUGUAUCGUACCUCUGUGUAUGUUCAAAAUACCUACCCUGAGAAUGGGCGGGUAAUCAAUUAGAAGUAAUGAUUUCCUUUUUUAAUACGCAACUAUGUACCGUAUAUUACAUCCCACAUAUUUUAUAUAUGUGCGUGUGUGUUUUAUUACCGUGUACGCGUAACUGUUAAUUCAUGGUGGGGAUAGACCAUUGUUAAUUGUUGGUCUCGGUCUUAACUAGGAAUGCCUUGUACGGGUCAUUGGUUCAACAAACCACCCGGAAUACGUCCCUGCCCUUUGUACACACCGCCCGUCGCUCUUACCGAUGAACUUCGCUAUGAAUCUAUUGGACUGUGCUCUCUUAUGAGUGCGGAAAGAUAUAUGAAUAGGGUGGUUUAAAGGAAAGAGAAGUCGUAACAAGGCAUCAGUAGGUGAACCUGCUGAUGGAUCAUUA